GCACCCGUAGCUCAAUGGAUAGAGCAUCUGACUACGGAUCAGAAGGUUACACGUUCGAGUCGUGUCGGGUGCA
Molecule: transfer RNA, 73 nt
Filed under: Roseimicrobium sp. ORNL1
Lineage: Bacteria; Pseudomonadati; Verrucomicrobiota; Verrucomicrobiia; Verrucomicrobiales; Verrucomicrobiaceae
Also listed under: 1 other name
Rfam family: tRNA
About the family: Transfer RNA (tRNA) molecules are approximately 80 nucleotides in length. Their secondary structure includes four short double-helical elements and three loops (D, anti-codon, and T loops).
Source: Rfam by way of RNAcentral